GGCGCUAUAGUGCAGUGGUCAGCACGUUCCGUUGUGGGCUUGUCAAUAACACUUGACUGUCAAGUACAUGGACUUCUUGUUGUUCUUGUUGUUAUUGGGUCAAAGCUAUUCCAGAGAGACCUUGGUUCAAACCCAGGCAGCGCCA
Non-coding RNA from Neophaeococcomyces mojaviensis, 145 nucleotides. Lineage: Eukaryota; Fungi; Ascomycota; Eurotiomycetes; Chaetothyriales. The record is from the annotation of a GenBank genome assembly.